RNAcentral lists this long non-coding RNA (444 nucleotides) under Homo sapiens (human). Its description in RNAcentral is "HSALNT0297959". The record is from RNAcentral. Lineage: Eukaryota; Metazoa; Chordata; Mammalia; Primates; Hominidae.
GCUGGCACCGCUUUAGCGUCCGGGGGCCGCUUAUAUCUUUUCUCUGAGACACGCCUCCUGGGCUCUCCGGCCCAGGCCAGCGCGCUGGACCCUGGGUACCUGGCUGAAGACUUUGGACUUUAACCUGGAGAUGAUGGAGAGUAUGCAGGAUAAAGUCCAUACCAAAUCCAACGCCUAGCAAAUGGAGAACAAGCCAAAACUAACAAGAUAAAAUGUAGCAGGAAAAAGUGCAAAGAGCUGAAGUGUGGAAUAAGUGGGAGAGGUCUGCCAUGCCCUAUCUGACCUUGCUGCCAUGAUCUUUAAGGCUGUGUGUCCUGGUUGGUGCAGCUACAAGAUGGCAGAAAUGCCUAAGUGAUGGUAUGGAACAGAGGAUCCCUCUUCUCACCAUUGUCUUGCAUGUUUCCUUGUGUGAACCACAAAUAAACUUUUGUUAUGUUAAGCUGC